ACUGAGCUGUUCCCUGCGCUAAGGUGCUCUUUUGGGCCUAAAUAUAAUUAGAUCCUUCGCCGUUGUUUUGAGGUAAAUCUAAACGAAAAGGAACACCUGUUAACAGGUAGUGAUGCCGCAGGAAAGUGCUGGGAAGGGAAUGCUGGGAAGGGAAGGGCGUGGUCCCUUUAAAUGAUAAGGAAGGGGGGCGGGAAGUGCUGGGUAGAGGAGGGCGUGGUCCCCAGCUAGGGCUUCAUCCCUGGGCCUGGGCCUACCUAGGUGAAGACAGGCAUUUUUGUUUUCCUGCCCGGAUGUUGCAUUUCCCAAGACCACCCUGGCCUGCCAUGCCCUCAUCCUGUGCCUUUAAAAACCCCCGAGACCCUGGCAGGCAGACGCACAAGCAGCUGGACAUUGAGAGGAGCAUAUAGGCAGAGAAUACAGGGGCUGCUGGAUGUCGAAAGGAACGCACCAGCAUAGGAGCACACCGGCAUGCUGGCAGGCCAUUGACCAGCGGAAGAAUGCAGAGUUUGUCGCGGGAGGUCAGAGAAGAGUCAGGCCGCCAUACCUGACUCCAGGAGAAAACCGUCUCCCUUCUGGUUCCCCCGUCUGCCGAGAGCUACUUCCACUCAAUAAAACUUUCCACUCAUUCUUCAAGCCCACGUGUGAUCCAAUUCUUCCCGUACACCAAGGUCUCGCUGUGUUUCCCAGGCUGGGUGCAGUGGCUAUUCAAAGGUACAAUGAUAGCUCACUGCAGCCUGGAACUCCUGGACUCAAGCGAUCCUCCUGCCUCAGCUGCGACUAACAGUGCUGGUAAUGAUGUAUACCUGGCAGCUGACCGUCAAAUCUUAUGAAGGAUUAAAACAUAAAGUUUGCAUUAAAGGUCAAAACAGUCACAAGCCUGCUCAAAUUCGGAAAGAGGGGACGGAAAUGGAACCUCUUCAUGGGAGGAAGAAACAGGGUCUUGCUCUGUUGCCCUGGCUGGAGUGCAAUGGUAUGAUCAUAGCUCACAGUAGCCUUGAACUCCUGGGCCCAAGCCAUCCUCCUACCUCAGCAACCAGAGUAGCUGGGAUUACAGGCGAAUGCCACCACACCUGGAAUUGGAAAAAUGAAUGUAAUUUGACAUAUGUCUUGAGUCUGGUUGGCUUCUGAGGAACUUGUGUGCAUCUCAUCAGUAUGCAUCUUAAGAACUGAAAUGACCCUACUUCAGCAUUGUGAGAAGACAUGCAUUCUCUUCGUAUAAAUAAUGUGGAUCUUACAUGUGAAAUUACAUAAAGAUAAAAGGGGAUGCACUGAACCUGAUGGUACUUUCCUGUACAAUUGAGAAAAGGUGAAAUAAGCAGAAGACCAAGGGAUGCAUUGGGAGGAGGAGAACCAGGAGGAGGACCACGUAAUGGAAGCCAAGUGAAGACAGUGUUUCCCAGUGCUGGCAAGGAGCAGGCUCCAUGCAUGCAUUUGGGCUCUGUGGAAAAUCUAGCCAGGGAUGCGGGCCUUUCUGAACGCCGCUUUCAUUGUGCCCCCUGCAGCAUUAUCUCUUCGAUGCGAUGUCCCUGCUGACUGAAAUGCAGAGAAGCUACUAAGAUCCACACACCAGUUGCUGCAAUCGGUGCCCUGCUCUUUGUCCCCCAUUCACCCCAGGUGAUUCAGCUCUUCUGGCACUCCCAGUGAUUCCUGUGGGACAGGCCCAGAGUGGACUUCCCACGAAGAUUCCCAGACUGGGGGAGAGCUCUAAGAUCCACUUCCAAUUCCUUUGUCUCACCUAGGAGACUCUGGGUUUAUGGAAGUUCUCUCUGAUUAGUGCUGUUGCAGCUGGGUUUGGGGGUCAUGUAGUCUAAAUGAUUGUUUCUCUUACUGGUGGUGAUUUUUCCAGUUUCUGUGGGCCCAGUGGAUUUCUCUGCUUCUCCUUAGAGUUCUGGUGAACUCAGAAUGUUAGUGUUAUUCUUUUCUUUGAAAAUAGUUUCCAUUUGUAAUUUGCUUGGAGAGUGAUUCUGGGGGAUUCUAUUCUGCCAUCUUGCUGCUGUCACUCUUUAAUAAGAUUUGUAACUAAUUCUCAAAUUGUUCAUAGUCUUAAAACUACAUAGAGUUGAUUUCAUACAUUUUAUUAUGAGAACAAUAAAAGUAUUUUGUGUCUUUGCUAGUGAGAUUUUUAGUUAUACAGAAAUUACAGUGUUUCCUGCUAUGUUCAAUCAUUCCAAGAUUCAUUAUACAUAUGUUAAAUAUGUUAUACAUUUGUUUACAUAAUGCAUAUUUUAUUUUUUUUCUGAGAUACCCAAAGCAUAAUCUCCCUCACUAUCCUGAAUAAUUAUAAAUUAGUAUUUCAUAUAUGAUAGAAAAUUUGUGACAUCCACUAUUUUUAAGAACGGCUAGGCUGGGCGUGGUGGCUCAUUCCUGUAAUCCCAGCACUUUGAGAGGCUGAGGUGGGCGGAUCACGUGAGUUCGGGAGUUCGAGACCAGCCUGACCAGCAUGGAGAAACCCCAUCUCUACUAAAAAUACAAAAUUAGCCGGGCGUGGUGGCACAUGCCUGUAUUCCCAGCUACUCGGGAGGCUGAAGCAGGAGAAUUGCUUGAACCCGGGAGGUGGAGGUUGCAGUGAGCCGACAUCAUGCCAUUGCACUCCAGCCUGGGCAGCAAGAGUGAAACUCUGUCUCGAAAAAAAAAAAAAAAAAAAAAGAAGAAUGGCUAAUUUCAGAACAUGUUUAUAUGUAUGUUGUAUUCAAUGUCUUUAAUUAAAGUCUGUUUCUUUAUCCUAAUUUGUG
Molecule: long non-coding RNA, 2732 nt
Filed under: Homo sapiens (human)
Lineage: Eukaryota; Metazoa; Chordata; Mammalia; Primates; Hominidae
Description: non-protein coding lnc-NEIL3-6:3
Source: RNAcentral